RNAcentral lists this unclassified non-coding RNA (1188 nucleotides) under Hevea brasiliensis (rubber tree). The record is from RNAcentral. Lineage: Eukaryota; Viridiplantae; Streptophyta; Magnoliopsida; Malpighiales; Euphorbiaceae.
AGGGUCUGGAAUUCUAUUGGUAAUUGUAUGUCCUAGAAAUCAGAUAUCCACACAAAGAAAUGAUGGUACAAGAAGGUAUUUAGCUGAUCCAAUAUUACAUGAAAUUGAAGUAUAAACAGUAGCCGAAUAACAUGCAGGUAUAUUAUUCCUCUCACCUCUUCCUAGCAUUCUUCUACUGAUACAUGACAAGCACAUAGCUAAUUAUACAUCUGAAAUUCCCUCCCAAAGAAACCGUUAGGUGAAAUAAGGCUCUCUAUGUAGGUAUCUGCUUCAAAUCCAACUCCAACUGGAAUUCCUUUAAUCCCUAGCACCUUAUAUGUGUCCUCUUCCAAAUUGUACUGGACUAAUCUUCCAUCUACCUCCAGUAAAGCUUCUCCAUUCUUUGCCAAGCACAGUGGCUUCAUGCAAAUGUAUGGCAGGCUGAUACUAAACCUAGCCCAUGAGUCACCAACCCCAUAUUCACGCAUCACCCAAAAAUCAUCAUGCAAAUCAUCACGGCUAUAAAGUACACAAAGACAUCCAUUCAGGGUUCCUACCGCAAAUUCAAAACUAUCAUCAACAUCUGGUGCUGGCAUGCCCCAGAACAACUCCUCUCUCAAAUCAAACACUGAAACUACGUACUUGCCAUCUUCAUCUUCCCUACUGGUAGCCACCCAGUGAAGAGCUCCAUGAAGAAACAUCCCGGAAUUAUACACAGAGCAAUCGUAAGGGAAGGUCCCAAUUCUUCUCCAAGAAUCAGUUCGCAAUGAAUAAACACUGAACGAAGAAUCAGUAUCAAUUCUCACCACCUUAUAAUCAUCCCUAGUUGAAUCAUAACCAAACCCAUAUGCAGUAACACCGCAUGUCGCAGGCCCAGAAAAGGAUUCUUCAGGGAUUCUCUUGGAUUCCCCGGUAGAUGGAUUAAAUAAGAAAAGGGUGUCUUCAUCUGGGGCUAUACACACCAAUCCAUUACAAGAACCCCAAAUUUCAACCCAAUUUCUCGGAUUAACAGAGGAUUGCACAUCAACCUUAACCAUCACUGGGUUCUCAUCUUCAUCUUCAGACAAUUUAAAAUACACCAAGUCAUUUUUUUUAGAACCCAACACAUCACCCAAAGCAUUAGGGUUGUCUUUCAAAGGAUAAUCAAGCUCAACAGCUACAACAUCGCCAUCAUCAACGCUACACAUAGAUUCAUACUCGACAGAAUAG